This 326-nucleotide ribosomal RNA is filed under the name uncultured prokaryote. RNAcentral describes it as "bacterial SSU rRNA". It matches the Rfam family "Bacterial small subunit ribosomal RNA", at positions 26 to 352 of the family's 1533-position model. The record is from RNAcentral.
AGAUUGAACGCUGGCGGCAUGCUUUACACAUGCAAGUCGAACGGCAGCACGGGGGGCAACCCUGGUGGCGAGUGGCGAACGGGCGAGUAAUGCAUCGGAACGUAUCCUUGAGUGGGGGAUAACGCAGCGAAAGUUGUGCUAAUACCGCAUAUGCCCUACGGGGUAAAGCGGGGGAUCGGUAAGACCUCGCGCUGGUGGAGUGAGCCUACGUCCGAUUAGUUAGUUGGUGGGUAAGGCCUACCAAGGCUACGAUCGGUAGCUGGUCUGAGAGGACGACCAGCCACACUGGGACUGAGACACGGCCCAGACUCCUACGGGACGGCAGC